CCCUUAGAUGUUCUGGGCCGCACGCGCGCUACACUGACGAAUGCAACGAGCUUAUAACCUUGGCCGAAAGGUCUGGGUAAUCUCCAAAUUUCGUCGUGAUGGGGAUAGAUUAUUGCAAUUAUUAAUCUUCAACGAGGAAUGCCUAGUAAGCGCAAGUCAUCAGCUUGCGUUGAUUACGUCCCUGCCCUUUGUACACACCGCCCGUCGCUCCUACCGAUUGAAUGGUCCGGUGAAGCGUUCGGACCGUGGCCUUUGGACGGUUCGCCGUCUGUUGGCUGCGGGAAGUUCGUUAAACCUUAUCAUUGAGAGGAAGGAGAAGGCGUAACA
This 327-nucleotide ribosomal RNA is filed under the name uncultured eukaryote. Its description in RNAcentral is "partial 18S ribosomal RNA". It matches the Rfam family "Eukaryotic small subunit ribosomal RNA", at positions 1470 to 1796 of the family's 1831-position model. The record is from RNAcentral.